Non-coding RNA from Acanthosepion pharaonis, 112 nucleotides. Lineage: Eukaryota; Metazoa; Mollusca; Cephalopoda; Sepiida; Sepiidae. The record is from the annotation of a GenBank genome assembly.
UACGACCAUAAUACGUAAAAUUACCGGUUCUCGUAAAAUCACCGAAGGUAAGCAACGUCGAAUCCGGUCAGUACCUAGAUGGGUGACUACUUGGGAAUACCAGGUGCUGCAG